UGAACUAAGAUUGGCUUGAACAAAGCAAGCUCAAAAUAGUUUAAUAAAAAUAAAUCCUCUUUUGCAACCCAGAACUCAUUGUUCAGUAUAAGUUUUAGUACAUAUAAGAAAGAAUAUU
Aotus nancymaae (Ma's night monkey) is the source of this 118-nucleotide small nucleolar RNA. Lineage: Eukaryota; Metazoa; Chordata; Mammalia; Primates; Aotidae. The record is from Ensembl.